This is a non-coding RNA of Nicotiana tabacum (common tobacco), 5124 nucleotides long. NCBI's taxonomy places the organism in Eukaryota, Viridiplantae, Streptophyta, Magnoliopsida, Solanales, Solanaceae. The record is from RefSeq and is a predicted model, not a curated record.
UGAUGCUUCAGUGGUAUCAUCGGACUGUUAUGUCAGUUCGGAGCUGAAUCGUUGCAUCGAUUCGAGAUAUCAUGGAUACCCAUUAUGCAUCAUUAUGGCGCACGUUUCCCAAGAACCGUAUCGUUUCCCGUGCCCUUUCAAUUUUUUGAUUGGCGGCUCUUGGGUUUCCCACUUAGGACAUUCAUGUUCCUAUAAAUAGGGGGAACCUAUCAUUCGAUUGUUACACUUUUCGGUUUACCUGAGGAAUUUUGCAAACUUCCACCCUCUUCAAUAUUUCAUACUUUCGAUUUCAUACUUCUGCUUUCGUCUGAAUUUGACGUGACCAUCUUCUCUUUUCCUUCAUCACUCUUGUUUAUUUCAAUCAAGUUAGUCAAAUAGUUGGUACUCCUUCCCAGACCGACAAAUUCGUCGAAGCUCCGGUGCUGGAAAAUGAAGUACCUCCUCUUAGAGAGGGAGUGGAGGUGACGGAAGAUGAGGGAGUUCCGAUAAUGGCUGAGAUACUACCCUACCUGGGGAAAUUAUGGACUGAUUUUAACAGCAUCACCGGAGAAGAACCAGAACCUGUCCCUUCUACCAUGGAUAAAGUGGCGAUUAUGGCGCUCAAGACCAAGUGGGGAAUUCCAAACCAUAUCGAAAUGGCGCCGGCGACGGGAACGGACAUUGUGCACUUGCACCGCCCGGGGUACUGCCCAUUUUACGCGUAUCCUUUUAUUGUCGGAUAUAUGUUUCCUCCCCCCUCUCUAGUGGUGGACUUCUGUCGUUUUUACGAAGUGUGCCCGGUUUAGCUUUCAACGUACGCAUACAAGCUCUUCCUCAUGCUUCUCAAGUAUGUGGAGCUCGCCGGUCGAGGGAUCACUUUGGGGCAUAUUCUUAAUAUUUUUGUCCCUCAAUUUAUUUUAGGCACGAUGAUCCACAUGUGUCAUCAAAGAACCAAGAGUUUGAUGGUGAAGAUGGAUGAUAAGGCUAAUCACCGCUUCUAGGAAAGCUAUUUUUAUGUGCGGAUAAAACACCUUAUGGCGGACUCGGCGGGGUUCCUUGAGACGUGGAACUUCACACCCGAGAGAUUGCCUCCCCUGCCAGUUGACGACAUCCGUGAGUGGGUAAACGCCAUUCUUCCCUAUACAAUGGGGGUUUGCGUGUGGGCGUCCUUCUAUGAGAGAUAUAGGCGUAAGCCUCUCACUGGGAGGGUGCGAAGGACGAGGGCUCCUCUGCUUGCGUUGCGUCAACCAGCGCCUUCUAUUCAUCCUACGCUGAGGGCUACUGCAUGUCCUGUAUCAAGAACUACUCAGCCUGCACCUAUGGCCGAAGCUGCAUGUUCGGAGAUUACUCCCCCCUGCACCCUGUCCAGUCGACGAAUCUUCUCGCGUAAGUAGUAAGGAGGACCCACCGAAGAGACGAAGGGUGGUGUUGAAAGAGGUUUCCCCGGCCGAUACUUCUUUGAGGGGUACCCUUACCCUGGCGUUGAUAGAAAUCAGAGAUGAUGUCAGCCCUGCUGUGGACACAGCACCUGUUGUGAGUGGUCAAUAGGCUGAUGUGGUGGAGAGACGGAGUCCCAGGAUUUCAAUUACUAUCUUGGGCGGCCCUUCGUCUUCCUGGCCGAACCGCACUUCUUCUUUGGCCAAAGAGGGGGGGAAAGGCAUCAUGGUGGACGAUUACGAGUUUGAAUCUGACCUCGAUCCUAACUAUGUUAGGAUGUUCGAGGAGGGCUUUACGCGAACUGUGGUAAGAGCGAGAGGUCCUUCCCGAAUACUCGAAAUCCCGUCGAAUCUCAACCUUCUGCAAGAUACGGUGGAUUUUGUGCCGCAGUUUGGCCUUCUAUGCUCUGCCACAAAAAGCGGGUCUCUUCAGGAAGUUAGCGAUGCCAAACUAUCGCAAGGUGUGGCCGCGUUAGGCUUGAGGGUAAGUUUCUCUUCUUUGUUUGUUUUUUUACUUUGGCUCUUAUCGACUCUCUUCUCCUUGCUAUUUUUAGACUUACAUGCUGGAGAUAGAGAGUGCUUGCAGGGCCGAGACCCGGGCCAAGAUUUUUCUGAUGAUGCUUGAAAAGUAUCGGCGUUAUCGCAAAAAAUGUCGUGAUAUGCAUGAGCGGCUCAGAGCGAGCACUGUCAAUCAAUCUCUCGGGGAGGAGUUGGAGAAAAGGGAUAAGAAGCUGAUGUAGUCCAUUCGCAUGUGUAGUGAGCUCGAGGAGCUACUUCAUGCUAAGGACGAGGAACUUGAGUUGGGAAAGGGGGUCGCUAUAGAGUGCGAGCAUCUUUAGGACGAGGAACUUGAGUGCUGUUGUUGCAAGCCGAACUCGAUCAGAAUGCUGCCAGAGUUGAGGCUUUGAGUGUAGAAUGUAUGGGGGAAGUUAGCCGAGCUGGAGAGAAAAGUAGAUGAGUUGGAUAAUGCCGAGAACCCUCGAGCAUCAGCUUUAUCAAGUGUGACGGCGUUGGAGGACACUAUCCAUAUCCUUCAGUCUAAGCAGGAGUCCGAGAUGGCAAUGACCACACUAAGGGAGGCGAGGCUCGAAGAGCGCAUCAACGAGAUCGAUUGGGAGGAUUCGAUCCUAGGCGACCGGGUCGUGGCACUUGAGGCUGAGAGGGCGUAGUUGUUAGCUCAAGUUGAAUCUGUCUCUGCCGCUGUUCCUCGUCAAUUGCAUGAGCUUUGGGUCCAUGCCGAUGCCCAACGAGAUAUAUACAAGGAUUUUGGGAGACGAGCAAUGUUUCUGAGGCUGCUUAUGAAGAAGCCCGAGUGAAGGCACAAGAGACUCGUGUCAACUACGGCUACGACCCUGCGAUAUCGGAGGUCGGUGAUGAGGCUGAUGUUGAGGAGGAGUUUCUUGCGGACAAUGAUGGGGAGAACGACGGUGAUGAUGCCGAGUGAAAAGUUGUUACUGCUUUAGUAUAUAUUAUUUUUUUUGUUCAUCUUUGUCUUUUUGUCGGGCUCGUUUUGGCCUUUUGUAAGGUGCGGCUAUUGCGCACGUAUAUAUAAAUAAAGAAGUUGUUUCGCCUUUGUAUAUCCUUUGAUUUUCUUUCCCUUCCCCUUGCUUGUUACAUCUUUUUGUUUUGGCGUAGCUUCGGAUUUUGUGUGGCGAGUCCCUAAUUUUUCGAUUUGGGAAUCCGACCUUGACCGGAUCGAGUAGGGUCUCGUUGCGUGAGUCCGAAUGGAGCUUCUUCGGACUUGCACAUUCGGGCGAGAUUUAUUUCUAAUUUGUCUCUUUAGGCGGUAUCAUCCUUGAUUCUAACAAGGUUGAAUUCGGAUCCGUCCUUUCGGUCAAAGCUAUUUUUGACUCGAACAUUCGAGUGGGACUAAGUUCAAACUUGCUGACUUAGGCAGAAUUAAUUUUUUAGUGUGUACUUGACCGGGGUUGAGUUUGGAACCGUCAUCUAGAGCGAGGCCAAUUUCUAACUUUAUUUGAACGAGAUCGAAUUUGGAGUCGCUGUUUUGGGCAAAGUCAAUUUUUGACUUAUACUUGAAUGACGCCAGCCUUUUCCUUUUAUUUGACUGUAGCCGGCGGCCGUAAAAGGUGUUGUUCCAAACGAGGUUGGAUUGUGACCUACUUGUUUUGACAAUGGCCGGUGGCCGUAAAGGUGUUAUUUUGUGGAAGAUCAAAAUAGUAACCUAUUCGAUUCGGUGAUGGCCAUCCGCUGUAAGGGUGUUAUUUUGAACUAAGGUCGAAAUGUUAACCCAUUGUAAUUCGAGCGAGGUCAAAUUCUUCUUUUGGCGGUGGCCGUUGGCCGUACGGGUGUUAUUUCGAGCUAAGGUCGAAAUGUUAACCCGUUGUAAUUCGAGCGAGGUCGAAUUCUCCUUUUGGCGGUGGCCGUUGGCCGUAGGUGUGUUAUUUAGAGCUAAGGUCGAAAUGUUAACUUGUUGUAAUUCGAGCGAGGUCGAAUUCUUCUUUUGGCGGUGGCCAUUGGCCGUAGGGGUGUUAUUUCGAGCUAAGGUCAAAAUAUUAACCCGUUGUAAUUCGAACGAGGUCGAAUUAUUCUUUUGGCGGUGUCCGUUGGCCAUAAAGGUGUUAUUUCGAGCUAAGGUCGAAAUGUUAACCCGUUGUAAUUCGAGCGAGGUCGAAUUCUUCUUUUGGCGGUGGCAAUUGGCCGUAGGGGUGUUAUUUCACACUAAGGUCGAAAUAUUAACUCGUUGUCUCGGCUUUGUUUUUACUAGAGAAUAUUGGGUGUUCCCUGGGUGAGUCCCUAUUUUGCUUAGCUUCUGCGUUUCCUAGGUGAGUCCCAGUUUGCUUUUGUGCGCUUGCAUUGGAGAAUACUAUGCGUUUCCUAGGUGAGUCCCCGUUUGCUUUUGUGCGCUUCCUGGGUGAGUCCCAGUUUAGCUUAACUUCGCAUGUAUUGGAGGAUAUCUUGGUGGAGAGUACAAAAUGUUGCUCUAUUUCAUUUACUAGAAAAUGUUAUACAUGUUCGUUCCAUGCAUAUAUUGGAGAAGUUUCCAUGUAUCUAGUCCUUUCAUCGCCCGGCCUGGGGAAGCAGUCAGCAGGCAGGGUGAUGAAUCAUACUUGAACUUUGAGACGUCCCUUUCGUCACCUCGCCAGAAAUCUCCCCGAGAAGACCCAAUUAGGACAAAACCCGGGUGGGGGAAAAAGGGUACGACUUGAGGGGUGUCCUUUUUACGAAGUUGAAGUAUUUGAGGUGGGCAACAUUUUAAUUGUUUUGUAGUAGCUUUCCUUCCAUUGUUUCUAGUUGGAAUGCUCCUUUGCUUGCCCAUGCGAGUGCUCGCAUUCCUGUUCGAACCAACACAAGAGUGAAGAUAAACCAAAAUGAAAUUUUUCGUUACCUCGACCCAAUGAGUCAGUGAAAGAAGGAGUGACAUUGUAGUGUUACUCGCUUCUCUUGGUGCUCGAAUGGUGGUUUCAGAUUUAGCAGCCGUGUUCGGCUCCAUCUUUAACAGCGUCUAGGCUUUGCAUGGGUUGGAUCCACCUCACUCGCUGAAGUGGUGAAAUCGAGUCCUGGUCCGAUCUCGUCCGAUUUGUACCAACAACAAGGGAAACAUGUCAUACUUCGUUCAUAGACCAUCCAAUGUGUGGGAGAAUGUAAAAAUAGGGCAGGAUGUGCCAAUUUUUUCAAAAGACCGCGCAAUAAGCUGUCAUCCCCUCCCAAGGGGUGGGAAUGCGGGUCAAUAUAUAAGGUAAAUACGUCA